Molecule: ribosomal RNA, 469 nt
Filed under: Amanita suballiacea
Lineage: Eukaryota; Fungi; Basidiomycota; Agaricomycetes; Agaricales; Amanitaceae
Description: eukaryotic LSU rRNA
Rfam family: Eukaryotic large subunit ribosomal RNA
Source: RNAcentral
AGUUGUAACCUAGAGAAGUGUAACCUGUGCUGGACCGUGUACAAGUCUCCUGGAAUGGAGCAUCAUAGAGGGUGAGAAUCCCGUCUUUGACAUGGACUACCAGUGCACUGUGGUUGCACACUCAACGAGUCGAGUUGUUUGGGAAUGCAGCUCUAAAUGGGUGGUAAAUUCCAUCUAAAGCUAAAUAUUGGCGAGAGACCGAUAGCGAACAAGUACCGUGAGGGAAAGAUGAAAAGAACUUUGGAAAGAGAGUUAAACAGUAUGUGAAAUUGUUGAAAGGGAAACGCUUGAAGUCAGCUGCAUUAGCUGGGGAUCAAGCCAGCUUUUUUGCUGGGUGUACUUCCUGGUUGAUGGGCCAACAUCAGUUUUGACCAUCAGAGAAAGGCUAAGGGAAUGUGGCACCUUUAUAGGUGUGUUAUAGCCCUUGGUUGUAUGUGAUGGUUGGGACUGAGGACAGCAGCGUGCCGCA